Physeter macrocephalus (sperm whale) is the source of this 673-nucleotide long non-coding RNA. RefSeq lists it as uncharacterized. The transcript has 4 exons. NCBI's taxonomy places the organism in Eukaryota, Metazoa, Chordata, Mammalia, Artiodactyla, Physeteridae. The record is from RefSeq and is a predicted model, not a curated record.
GGAACACUAGGUGACUUGUCUUGAACUGUGUUUUCACAGCAAACACCACCUAGGUUUCAUACAGACUGAGUAGGACUGAUGCUGAUGGCUGAUGGAAAGCUAAAGCCCCUCAAAAUCAUCUCUUGGCACUGAGGGUGUAAAAAUGACUAGAGCUAGUUCUCCAUAGCAGUUUUCUCUUCUGAAGCUGAGCAGCAGCAAGAAGCGUUGCAUUAAUAUGUGAAUAAAAGGAUAAGAAUUCACCAUCGUCUACACUAAAAUUCUUUUUGAUGUUAUAAGGAAAGAGCUUAAAAUCUACCUGCCAGAAAAAAUGAAGAAGGAGAAAACGAGGAAGAGGAAAAAAAUUCAUGAACCUUUUAAUGAUUAACAAGAAAAGGAAAUGUAAGUGCAAAAUCCAAUUCAUUGACUUAAAUGUUGGUGUUAUCUCAGGUUUAGUUUUUGCCUCCUUGGCUUCUAAUUACAAAGCAUUGUUAGGUGGCAACACACAAAAUCACAUACAGUUUCAACGACUACCUAUACCCCUUUAGCUUGAUGAUAACCAAAUCUAUAUAUGUAGCCUGAAUCUCACUCCUAAACUCUCCACGUUUACAUCUUACUUCCUAUGUAAGCUCUCCAUUUGGAUGGAUUCCAACCACAUGAAAAUCAGCAUAUUCAAAACCAAAUUUGUCAUUCCUCA